UACACUCCUGCGGGAGGCAGCAGUGGGGAAUAUUGGACAAUGGGCGCAAGCCUGAUCCAGCCAUGCCGCGUGAGUGAUGAAGGCCCUAGGGUUGUAAAGCUCUUUCACCGGAGAAGAUAAUGACGGUAUCCGGAGAAGAAGCCCCGGCUAACUUCGUGCCAGCAGCCGCGGUAAUACGAAGGGGGCUAGCGUUGUUCGGAAUUACUGGGCGUAAAGCGCACGUAGGCGGAUCGAUCAGUCAGGGGUGAAAUCCCAGGGCUCAACCCUGGAACUGCCUUUGAUACUGUCGAUCUGGAGUAUGGAAGAGGUGAGUGGAAUUCCGAGUGUAGAGGUGAAAUUCGUAGAUAUUCGGAGGAACACCAGUGGCGAAGGCGGCUCACUGGUCCAUUACUGACGCUGAGGUGCGAAAGCGUGGGGAGCAAACAGGAUUAGAUACCCGAGUAGUCCCA
This 449-nucleotide ribosomal RNA is filed under the name uncultured organism. RNAcentral's name for it is "partial 16S ribosomal RNA". It matches the Rfam family "Bacterial small subunit ribosomal RNA", at positions 332 to 797 of the family's 1533-position model. The record is from RNAcentral.